AACGAACGCUGGCGGCAGGCCUAACACAUGCCAGUCGAGCGCCCCGCAAGGGGAGCGGCGGACGGGUGAGUAACGCGUGGGAACGUACCCUUUGCUACGGAAUAGCCUCGGGAAACUGGGAGUAAUACCGUAUGUGUCCUUCGGGAGAAAGAUUUAUCGGCAAGGGAUCGGCCCGCGUUGGAUUAGGUAGUUGGUGGGGUAAUGGCCUACCAAGCCGACGAUCCAUAGCUGGUUUGAGAGGAUGAUCAGCCACACUGGGACUGAGACACGGCCCAGACUCCUACGGGAGGCAGCAGUGGGGAAUCUUAGACAAUGGGCGCAAGCCUGAUCUAGCCAUGCCGCGUGAGCGAUGAAGGCCUUAGGGUUGUAAAGCUCUUUCAGGGGGGAAGAUAAUGACUGUACCCCCAGAAGAAGCCCCGGCUAACUCCGUG
RNAcentral lists this ribosomal RNA (431 nucleotides) under uncultured bacterium. Its description in RNAcentral is "partial 16S ribosomal RNA". It matches the Rfam family "Bacterial small subunit ribosomal RNA", at positions 29 to 507 of the family's 1533-position model. The record is from RNAcentral.